RNAcentral lists this ribosomal RNA (424 nucleotides) under uncultured bacterium. Its description in RNAcentral is "bacterial SSU rRNA". It matches the Rfam family "Bacterial small subunit ribosomal RNA", at positions 355 to 796 of the family's 1533-position model. The record is from RNAcentral.
UGGGGAAUAUUGGACAAUGGGGGCAACCCUGAUCCAGCAAUGCCGCGUGAGUGAUGAAGGCCUUCGGGUUGUAAAGCUCUUUUGUCAGGGACGAUGAUGACGGUACCUGACGAAUAAGCUCCGGCUAACUUCGUGCCAGCAGCCGCGGUAAUACGAGGGGAGCUAGCGUUGUUCGGAAUUACUGGGCGUAAAGGGCGCGUAGGCGGUUCUAUAAGUCAGAUGUGAAAGCCCCGGGCUUAACCUGGGAGGUGCAUUUGAAACUGUAGGGCUUGAGAUCGAGAGAGGAAAGUGGAAUUACGAGUGUAGAGGUGAAAUUCGUAGAUAUUCGUAAGAACACCAGUGGCGAAGGCGACUUUCUGGCUCGAUACUGACGCUAAGGCGCGAAAGCGUGGGGAGCAAACAGGAUUAGAUACCCCCGUAGUCC